Molecule: non-coding RNA, 988 nt
Organism: Petromyzon marinus (sea lamprey)
Lineage: Eukaryota; Metazoa; Chordata; Hyperoartia; Petromyzontiformes; Petromyzontidae
Source: RefSeq, a predicted model, not a curated record
UAUUGUCUUACUUUAUUUUCUUUUAUUAUUUUAUUCUCAUUCGACAUGGCUUUACCGAAAGAACCAAAGAAGACACAUUUAGCAGUAAGCCACCCCGGGCAGAAUGUGGAGACGCCUACUCUCAGUCGGCUGAAGUGGCUGUCUGGUCAUUAACCAUUCCAGUUCAGUUUGCUUCGGUUUCGUGUGAUGUCUUUGUGUCUGGUGAGCUGCCCAUUUAAAAUGAAAAAUAAAUAAGUACAUCCAUUCUCUCGAUCCACAAACGUAAACACAUUCGCCACACUCGAGGCAAAUUGCUUUUCCCCCAUUGCGGCAAAAUUAAUUAAAUUCCGAGCAUAAUAACCCGAUGCGCAUGCUGCCCCGAUGCGGAUAUUGUCUUGUUAAAAUUGCAUCAAAAUAAUAAUAAUAAUGAUGAUGAUGAUGCAAAAUAGAUGCAAUAAACCCAUACGCGGCCGAAACAGCAGCUCCUCAAUGCGUCAGUGAUAUUGCAUUCAUUGUUGUGUGCGGUGGUGUAAUUACUCUCGCACAAUGGACAGGCGCAUCUACAGGUCACCGGCUUCAAUCUCCAGGCGCGGCAGUCGGAACAGCGCGACAGGUAAAGGAGCAGCCCUGCAAUUGCUGGGCUCACUCCACUGCUGGCGGAAGACGUCUCCGCUAGAGGAAGCAGCAAAGGGUAAAUUGAGCCCGUGGGUUCGAUCCCGGACACGAACGAUGGCCGUUGGAUUCUUCUCUGGCUUCCUCCUCCACAUUGAGAAUCAACACGCGAUUUGAUUAUUUGGCUGCUACGAUCAAGUCUCACGUGUGCUAAUGAUGAUGAGCGAUCAUCAUCACAUGCGACCAGGGCGCCUCUGAGAAGGAGUUCAUAGCUCAGUGGGCUUUACGCGGUAAAUUAAAUCGUUUGAGAAUAUCGGCAUAGGUUUUACCCUUUCUGUCAAUAAAACAGUUUGUGUUUAGAUCAAGGCCGUAAUUAUAAUAUAACAAUUUGAUAAAC